Molecule: ribosomal RNA, 397 nt
Filed under: uncultured bacterium
Lineage: Bacteria
Description: bacterial SSU rRNA
Rfam family: Bacterial small subunit ribosomal RNA
Source: RNAcentral
CAGCAACGCCCCGUGAGGGAUGACGGCCUUCGGGUUGUAAACCGCUUUAGCAGGGACGAAAAUGACGGUACCUGCAGAAGAAGCCCCGGCCAACUACGUGCCAGCAGCCGCGGUAACACGUAGGGGGCGAGCGUUGUCCGGAUUUAUUGGGCGUAAAGAGCUCGUAGGCGGUUUCGUAAGUCGGGUGUGAAAGCUUCAGGCUCAACCUGGAGAAGCCCUCGGUACUGCGAUGACUAGAGUCCGGUAGGGGAGCGUGGAAUUCCUGGUGUAGCGGUGAAAUGCGCAGAUAUCAGGAGGAACACCAACGGCGAAGGCAGCGCUCUGGGCCGGAACUGACGCUGAGGAGCGAAAGCGUGGUAGCGAACAGGAUUAGAUACCCUGGUAGUCCACGCCGUAA